GAUGAACGCUGGCGGCGUGCUUAAUACAUGCAAGUCGAACGGAGAGUUAGCAAUAGCUCUUAGUGGCGAACGGGUGAGUAACGCGUUGGUGACCUGUCCCGAAGAUGGGGAUAACAGUUCGAAAGGACUGCUAAUACCCGAUGUGGUUAUCGAGGUUAGAGGCUUGGUAACUGAAGGAGCAAUCCGCUUUGGGAGGGCCUGCGUCCCAUCAGCUAGUUGGUAGGGUAAAAGCCUACCAAGGCAUAGACGGGUAGGGGACCUGAGAGGGUGACCCCCCACACUGGCACUGAACAACGGCCGAGACACCUACGGGAGGCAG
RNAcentral lists this ribosomal RNA (319 nucleotides) under uncultured Chloroflexota bacterium. RNAcentral's name for it is "bacterial SSU rRNA". It matches the Rfam family "Bacterial small subunit ribosomal RNA", at positions 28 to 351 of the family's 1533-position model. Lineage: Bacteria; Bacillati; Chloroflexota. The record is from RNAcentral.